GGAGUUUGGGUUGGAUUUGUGGUAUAACAAUUUUAGGGGAGAUUAUGCCUUCUUUUUUUUUUUUUUUGGUUAUUUGACCAUAUUUGUUUUUUUGUAGGGAAUCAUCGAGACUUUGACGGCUAAAGUUGAGGAUUAGGAAGCUAUCAAAACAUAUCCUCCGCCACUACCACCACAAUACGCUUGUAUUAGGAUUUUAUUAUUGUACUUUGUUAAUUUAUGUGUACAUUUUGAAUAUUAUAUAUAUAUUUAUUGGAUAAUUUGAUCACUAUUUUUCAUAUGUAAUUUUAU
Molecule: long non-coding RNA, 288 nt
Filed under: Prunus persica (peach)
Lineage: Eukaryota; Viridiplantae; Streptophyta; Magnoliopsida; Rosales; Rosaceae
Description: long non-coding RNA (PPER_LNC006554)
Source: RNAcentral